Molecule: unclassified non-coding RNA, 29 nt
Filed under: Dictyostelium discoideum
Lineage: Eukaryota; Evosea; Eumycetozoa; Dictyosteliales; Dictyosteliaceae
Source: RNAcentral
GGGGAGUUCGUGUCUCAGUAGAACCACCA